This 303-nucleotide ribosomal RNA is filed under the name uncultured bacterium. Its description in RNAcentral is "partial 16S ribosomal RNA". It matches the Rfam family "Bacterial small subunit ribosomal RNA", at positions 507 to 807 of the family's 1533-position model. The record is from RNAcentral.
AGCAGUAGCCGCGGUAAUACGAAGGGUGCAAGCGUUAAUCGGAAUUACUGGGCGUAAAGCGCGCGUAGGCGGUGAGUUAAGUCUGCUGUGAAAUCCCCGGGCUCAACCUGGGGACUGCAUUUGAUACGUACGGGCUUGAGUGGAGAAGAGGGUUGUGGAAUUUCCAGUGUAGAGGUGAAAUUCGUAGAUAUUGGAAAGAACACCGGUGGCGAAGGCGGCAACCUGGUCUUUAACUGACGCUGAGGCGCGAAAGCGUGGGGAGCAAACAGGAUUAGAUACCCCCGUAGUCCCUGUCUCUUAUAC